GAAGGUACAAUUUGAAGGCUCUAUGAGCAUUACUCCUGAGUUGAAGAGGGUGCCAUUGUUUCCUGUUGCUGAGAUCUCUGGCAUUCCGAAUAAGAAGUCGAUGUUUCGGAAGAUUAGAAGGUCGGCGUCGAUGAAGAUGAUCUUGUCAUAGUCUGUUAGUUGCCAUAGCCUGAACUUGCUGUAGUUCCACUCGUUGUAUGCAUCUUUUUCUGCUUUUGGGUUCCUGAUCCUUUGGAUUAUUCUUAUUUUCCAUCCUGCUGCUUCUAGGCCACUCUUGUGAUAGGAACUGAUUGUCUCGUCGACGAGUAUCACGAGGUCCCUAGUCGACCCUGACAUCCGAAUGCUUUGCGCUGCUGCAAUCGCGCCACAGACAUAAACGUGAGCUGAAUGGAGAAUUGUUGCAUAGGCUUCUCGGAGCAUGUUUCCUGAGUAAGGAACCUCUGUUUUGAAAGAUAACUUAUUAGAGAAGAAAAAGGAUCGUUUUUUAUAAGUAUUAUACUCAGUUUAGCUCAAGUUUCGCUCAAUUCCAUUUGGGGUGAAUGAUUUCUUUACUUCUCAUAAACAAAACUGCAUUUCAUCAUGGGAAAAAUCUUCACAUUAAUUUUUUUGUAAAAGGAUGUGUUUGUAGUGCCAUUGUUAUCUAUCAUAGGACUGACCUUUGCCUUUUAGGGGCAGUGCAAGUUCACAAGAACCAACUGGGAGCUGUAUCUUUUCUCUGAUCACAUUCAAGUUUGGUCGGUACAGCCACACAUUUCCUCGCCGUGCAACAAGAUCCUUGCAUGUAAACAAGUUCGGUAUUGGGAAGCAGUU
RNAcentral lists this long non-coding RNA (810 nucleotides) under Cucumis sativus (cucumber). Its description in RNAcentral is "long non-coding RNA (CSAT_LNC002471)". Lineage: Eukaryota; Viridiplantae; Streptophyta; Magnoliopsida; Cucurbitales; Cucurbitaceae. The record is from RNAcentral.